GAUUAAGCUACAAAGAGUGCAUGGUGAAUGCCUUGGCAUCAGGAGUCGAAGAAGGUCGUGAUAAGCUGCGAUAAGCUUGGGGUAGGCGCACAUAGCCCGAGAACCCAAGAUCACCGAAUGAGGCAACUCACUGGGGUAACCCCCAGUAUCCAUAGAUGAAUUCAUAGUCUAUUGGAGGACAAACCCAGGGAACUGAAACAUCUAAGUACCUGGAGGAAGAGAAAGAAACAUCGAUUUCCCUAGUAGCGGCGAGCGAACGGGAAAGAGCCCAAACCGGAAACUUGUUUCCGGGGUUGCGGACGAUCCGUCAAGUACGGUUAUUCUUUAGCAGAGCACAGCUGGAAAGCUGGACCAUAGGGGGUAAUAGUCCCGUAUGCGAAAAAGAAGACCCCGAAGGAUCGAUCCAGAGUACCACGAGACACGUGAAACCUUGUGGGAAGCAGGGAGGACCACCUCCCAAGGCUAAAUACUACCUGAUGACCGAUAGUGAAGCAGUACCGUGAGGGAAAGGUGAAAAGAACCCCGGGAGGGGAGUGAAAGAGAACCUGAAACCGUGCACUUACAACCGGCCAGAGCACGAUUAGAACGUGUGAUGGCGUGCUUUUUGUAGAACGAGCCAACGAGUUACGAUAUGCAGCAAGGUUAAGCACUUUAGGUGCGGAGCCGAAGGGAAACCGAGUCUUAAGAGGGCA
Molecule: ribosomal RNA, 692 nt
Filed under: Proteiniclasticum sediminis
Lineage: Bacteria; Bacillati; Bacillota; Clostridia; Eubacteriales; Clostridiaceae
Description: Bacterial large subunit ribosomal RNA
Rfam family: Bacterial large subunit ribosomal RNA
Source: Rfam by way of RNAcentral